AAUCAACGCUGGCGGCGUGCCUAACACAUGCAAGUCGCACGAGAAAGGGGAGCAAUCCCUGAGUAAAGUGGCGCACGGGUGAGUAACACGUGAAUCGUCUACCUCCGAGUGGGGAAUAACUGAGAGAAAUCUUAGCUAAUACCGCAUAACACUUACGAGUCAAAGCAGCAAUGCGCUUGGAGAGGAGUUCGCGGCCGAUUAGUUAGUUGGCGGGGUAAUCGGCCCACCAAGACGAUGAUCGGUAUCCGGCCUGAGAGGGCGCACGGACACACUGGAACUGAAACACGGGUCCAGACUCCGUACGGGAGGCAGCAGGUGGGGUAAUUUUGCGCAAGUGGGGGAAACCCUGACGCAGCAACGCCGCGUGGAGGAU
This 373-nucleotide ribosomal RNA is filed under the name uncultured bacterium. RNAcentral's name for it is "bacterial SSU rRNA". It matches the Rfam family "Bacterial small subunit ribosomal RNA", at positions 32 to 409 of the family's 1533-position model. The record is from RNAcentral.